GAGGGAAGCCAUGGACCUGCAGAUCCAGGUAAUGGUUCCAGGUCUCUGCUGUGCUCUAACUGUUGUGCCUUUUUCUUGCAGAAUUCCAUGCUGGCCGCCGACUCGUGGAGUAGCUGCUACCCAGGCUCUUUCCCAACCUCAUCUUUCCCAAGUGAAAACCACGCUGCCGGGAACAGCCCAAUCCUGCAAGGACAUGCCUGUGUCUCACACAAACCUGGACUUGCUGCCUUUGCUGAAGUUACUUCUGGAAAUGAAGCCCAUUGUAGUAAUGAUUUAAUAGGAAAUGAUUUAGCCAAAGUUACUCUUUUAGCUUCCUGGUCUUCAUACCCCAGGAGGUGUAAAAAUAAUGUAAAAAUCACCUUUCAGGUGAGAUCUUCCAUAUCUGC
This 386-nucleotide long non-coding RNA is filed under the name Junco hyemalis (dark-eyed junco). Its description in RNAcentral is "lncRNA (ENSJHYG00000002834.1)". The record is from RNAcentral. Lineage: Eukaryota; Metazoa; Chordata; Aves; Passeriformes; Passerellidae.